This is a long non-coding RNA of Cebus imitator (Panamanian white-faced capuchin), 117 nucleotides long. RefSeq lists it as uncharacterized. The transcript has 2 exons. The record is from RefSeq and is a predicted model, not a curated record. Lineage: Eukaryota; Metazoa; Chordata; Mammalia; Primates; Cebidae.
GCUGAGAAAACUAGAUAGUCAUGUAUAGAAGAAUGAAAAAAACCUAGAAAAAACUCUUCUGGACAUUGUCCUAGGCAAAGGAUUUAUGACAAAGACCUCAAAUGCAAAUGCAACAAA